Molecule: long non-coding RNA, 577 nt
Filed under: Sorghum bicolor (sorghum)
Lineage: Eukaryota; Viridiplantae; Streptophyta; Magnoliopsida; Poales; Poaceae
Description: long non-coding RNA (SBIC_LNC007364)
Source: RNAcentral
GACGAAUUCCAUGCCUGCCUGAAGUUAGAUGUAUGCUAUUGGAGGUUGCGCGUCAAUCCACCCCGCGAUGCAGUUCUGCAGCAUUAAAAUGAAGGUGUAAAUCAAGAUAGCACUGGACAAAAACAAACUAUGUUCCAGUGUUAUUCGUAUGUCAUCAAAUAACUUGAGUUGCUUGUGCUACAUAAAUAAAAGAGGCAUGGAUUACAGAAUUAGUCAACAAACAUAAUAAGAGCCAGUCUGCUUAUACAGAAGUAUAUAUUAAGCAAGACAGCAAUUGAAAGGUUAAUAUUUAUUAGUAUAUGAAUCCAUGGAGUAGAUAGCACACUUAGGGUUUACUAAUCUUCCAAUAUUAAUGGUCAUGUUUAAGUAUUCAAAGAGAAGGUAAACGUCUCAUAUAAAACCUUACAAAAAUAUUCUUGCAUAAAACAUCUCAAAGGGCAUACCUUCCUGAAACCGUCUGAGAAGUUCCAGGUCCUCUCAAAUUACCAAGUCGUUCUUGUUCAAGGCACACUGCAGCAAAUUUUUUCUCCAGAGCAGCUAUCUCUUGCCUCUUCUUUUUAGCCUCCACUUCCUUUGC